RNAcentral lists this transfer RNA (81 nucleotides) under Nitrosomonadaceae bacterium. RNAcentral's name for it is "tRNA-Cys". It matches the Rfam family "tRNA". From Rfam's summary of the family: Transfer RNA (tRNA) molecules are approximately 80 nucleotides in length. Their secondary structure includes four short double-helical elements and three loops (D, anti-codon, and T loops). The record is from RNAcentral. Lineage: Bacteria; Pseudomonadati; Pseudomonadota; Betaproteobacteria; Nitrosomonadales; Nitrosomonadaceae.
GCCCGGUUGCUAGAAUGGAAAUAGGACUGUCUGCAAAACAGUUGUAGCAAUACAGCGUUGGUUCGAUUCCAACACCGGGCU